CACUAUUAGAUUCUCUAUCUAUCACUGUUAAUCUAUCUACCACUGCUAAUCUAUACUGCUGUCAAUCUAUCUAUCACUGCUAAUCUAUCACUGCUGUCAAUCUAUCUACUGCUGUCAAUCUAUCUAUUGCUGUCAAUCUAUCUACCACUGCUAAUCUAUCACUGCUAAUCUAUCACUGCUAAUCUAUCACUGCUAAUCUAUUGCUGCUAAUCUAUCUAUCACUGUUAAUCUAUCACUGUCAAUCUAUCUACUGCUGUCAAUCUAUCUACCACUAUCAAUUUAUCUACCACUGUCAAUCUAUCUAUCACUGCUAAUCUAUCACUGCUAAUCUAUUGCUGCUAAUCUAUUGCUGUUAAUCUAUCGCUGCUAAUCUAUUGCUGCUAAUCUAUCUAUCACUGCUAAUCUAUCACUAUUAAUCUAUCUACUGCUGCCAAUCUAUCUACUGCUGUCAAUCUAUCUACCACUGUCAAUCUAUCUACCACUGCUAAUCUAUCACUGCUAAUCUAUUACUGCC
RNAcentral lists this small RNA (514 nucleotides) under Histoplasma capsulatum. RNAcentral describes it as "hypothetical RNA". RNAcentral also lists the same sequence under 1 other name. The record is from RNAcentral. Lineage: Eukaryota; Fungi; Ascomycota; Eurotiomycetes; Onygenales; Ajellomycetaceae.